RNAcentral lists this ribosomal RNA (109 nucleotides) under Acinetobacter gyllenbergii NIPH 230. Lineage: Bacteria; Pseudomonadati; Pseudomonadota; Gammaproteobacteria; Moraxellales; Moraxellaceae. The record is from RNAcentral.
UGGGGACAAGGGUAAACCACCUGAUUGCUUCCUGAACUCAGGAGUGAAACCUCUUAGCGCUGAUGGUAAUGUGAUACUUGCCAUAUGAGUGUAAGCCAUCGUUAGGAUU